Planococcus citri (citrus mealybug) is the source of this 1449-nucleotide long non-coding RNA. RefSeq lists it as uncharacterized. The transcript has 3 exons. The record is from RefSeq and is a predicted model, not a curated record. Lineage: Eukaryota; Metazoa; Arthropoda; Insecta; Hemiptera; Pseudococcidae.
AUUUCAUGAGUGAAGAUGUUCAUGUCGAAAUCGGUGAUUUUGUGUUUCGUGUAUAGUAUUCAACCAAUCGAAUUCAUAAAUAAGAAAACAUCGACGAAAUUAAUUGUUUCGUGACACCUACAUUAUAUGUAAACAAGUUGACAGCAAUUUCUUCAUGCAUUUAAUAAAGGACAAUGAACCCUGAAGAAGCGCCCUGGAAACAACCUAAGGAUUGGUAUCAUUCUUAUUACAAUAUGAGAAUAUGCGGGUAUGUGGACAUGGCGUGUUGCGUUGUGACGACGAUCUCCAGCAUUUUGAUCAUCAUAGUGUUCACAAGAAAAAGUAUGGUAUCACCUAUGAACACGAUCUUCAUUCACAUUGCCAUCACCGAAUCACUAACCCUUCUUAGCUUCUUACCUCGCUCAUGGCACGAAUAUUUUCGAGUGAAGCGAUGUUCAAUCCAUAUUCACAGAACAUACGAAUGGGAGAAUUUCGCUUAUUAUUCAUACGCGCUCGCAUUUGCAUUUCGCCACAUGGUAAUUUGGCUUACGGUGAUGCUGGGAGUAUGGCGAUACAUAGCAGUCGUACAUCCGCUGAAAAAGACGCAAUGGUGCGAAAUGCGCAUAACGAGAAAAUGGAUAAUGGGAGCAUAUAUUUUUGGAUUUGUGAUCACGAUACCACCUUUAUUUUCGAUAGCGGUUCAACCAUCUCGCAUACUACUCGAUGAAGAAGGGUGUUUACCUUCGAAUUCAACCAUUGGCCAUAAAACCAUUAACGCCACCAUAUACGAAUUCAGCGUUCCACUUGAGAAAUAUCCUUUUUUAUACUCAUUCUUCGUGAUCAGCUACGCGAUUUUAAUAAAAACUCUGCCCGCAAUUGUUCUAUCUGUGAUCAGCUGCAAGUUAAUCUUCACCCUAAUCAAAGCACGAAAAAGCCGAGCAAUGAUGGUAGCAAAUUUGAAUCGAAAGCACAUGCAAAAACAAAUGGAUCGAACGACAAUAAUUUUGGUACUCAUAUUGGUAUUAUUCAUAGCAACAGAAAUUAUUCACGGAAUAUUCGGCACAUUAACAGGAAUCUUAGGUCCGAAAUUUUUUUGGGGGCACUACUAUUACACAAUGGAGAUAGCAAAUACAUUUGCGCAUGUUUCCCAGAGUUUGAAUUUUGUGUUCUAUUAUGUGAUGAGCGACCAAUUCAGGAAAACUUUCAAAGCAUUAUUCAGACGAAAUAGCGAUACUCGUAGAUCGUCACACGAUGGACAUCAUAUCGGCCCAGCUCCUCAAACAGUUACCACUGAAGUAGAUAGUCUCGGAACUUAAACUUUCUGAUAUCAUAUUCAUAAAGUACUGCAGCAAUCAGUUUCAAUCACACCCGAUCGUAAUAAUUAUAGGUACCUAAUACAUAUUAUAAGUUCAUAAGUUAAAUUAAGUACACCAAUGAAGUAAAUGAACGCAAUAAUAUUGUACUCUCAUA